GAAAGAGUUAUUUUCAGCCUUUGACUUUGUGGUUUUAUAAAUCAAGGGUGGGGUGCUCUCCCUGAAAAGUGAAACACUGGCUUAGGUACGAUUAGCAGAUUGUGAUUGCAUUAGAUUUAAAACAUGCUAGCUGGAGCUUGCAGACAGUAGGUGAAAAAAAACCAAUCUGGGUGGGAAGGAAUUAAGAUUCCAUUUCCAACUGACAGUGCAAUUUCCUUCUCCCCAGAGUUCAAAGGAUGGAUACAUGGAUGGUGAUUUCAUUAAAGAAAAAGAGAUGACACUCGAAGCACUUUCCGAGAAUAAAACACAGUGGCUGCAGAGAAGAGGAGGAAUCAGGUGCGACUCAGACCUGC
RNAcentral lists this long non-coding RNA (353 nucleotides) under Rattus norvegicus (Norway rat). RNAcentral describes it as "long non-coding RNA NONRATT031772". Lineage: Eukaryota; Metazoa; Chordata; Mammalia; Rodentia; Muridae. The record is from RNAcentral.